Molecule: long non-coding RNA, 267 nt
Filed under: Elaeis guineensis (African oil palm)
Lineage: Eukaryota; Viridiplantae; Streptophyta; Magnoliopsida; Arecales; Arecaceae
Description: long non-coding RNA (EGUI_LNC072337)
Source: RNAcentral
UGGCCUUUGAUGUUGCAAUGGAAAUACUUUUCUUGUUGUCGGCCUUCUUCGAAACCUACUUUUUAGGCUUGACCUCGUUCUUUUGCUUCUUUGCAGAUUUCUUCUUCUUCUUGAAAGAAGAUUUUUUCUUAGAGAAAGUCCGCUCCACAGUCAGAACUGUACCUUUUGAACUCUUCAAGGUGCCCUUUACUGUUACCAGCAUGUUCAAUAAUUCAGACAAAGUGCUAUCAAUUUUGUUCAUAUGGUAGUUCCUGAUGAACUGCCCCU